Long non-coding RNA from Spinacia oleracea (spinach), 705 nucleotides. RefSeq lists it as uncharacterized. Lineage: Eukaryota; Viridiplantae; Streptophyta; Magnoliopsida; Caryophyllales; Amaranthaceae. The transcript has 3 exons. The record is from RefSeq and is a predicted model, not a curated record.
CCAUAUCUCCUGUCUCUCUCCUCAUAUUUCCAUUUUCCUUUCUCUCUCUUCUCGUCUAUCUCCUUUCUCUAUCCUCUAUCCCAUUCUGGAUCUCGUCUAUCUUCUUUCUCUCUCCUCUACUCCCUCAUAUUUUCUGGAUCCAUCUCUCGUCUCUCCCCUUCCUCUCUUCUCUAUCCCCUCAUAUUUCGUCGCCAUUGUUGGAAACCACCUCUAUUUUUCGGAUUUCACAAAAAUAAUCUAUAUAAUUCUGGGUUUUAUCAAGUUCAAUCAACCAUUUGUACCCAAAAUGGUGAUUAUAAACUCUUGGAUCUCGCAUGCAUCGCCAACUCUUGGAUCUCGCCCACUUUAGCAGAAAUGGUGAGCAGAAAUGGUACAACAAAACAAAACUAUUCUAUCAUCUAUUUGCUGCACGGAUUAGUCUCCCCUCCUCUCUAUUAACUAUGAGAAGGAAGUAGAAGAAGAUAUUACUUACGUGUAUUGGCGCAACUUGAAGAGGAAUGGUGAUGGAAUUUUUCUGGGAUUCUUCGUUUUUAGUUUUCUGGGUGUAGACUGAUUUUGAUUUAAUUCAGUCGAAUGUCAAUAUGAUUUAAUUUUUGCAAUUGUGAUAAUUUGUAAUAAGAUCUUCUUGGUUGGGUUUAUGCGUGAUUUUUGGUUGGGUAUAUGCGUGAUUUUCUUGGUUGUGGGUUUAUGCAUGAUUUUCUUGGC